Long non-coding RNA from Dendrobium catenatum, 835 nucleotides. RefSeq lists it as uncharacterized. The transcript has 2 exons. The record is from RefSeq and is a predicted model, not a curated record. Lineage: Eukaryota; Viridiplantae; Streptophyta; Magnoliopsida; Asparagales; Orchidaceae.
CUCUCGCUUUCACUUCUCAAGCAGCCAAGCUGCACCUUUCUCUUACAGCUAGUCGGCUUGAACAUGCUGUCGUCUUCUUCGUCAACGUAGCCAUUUAGGGAUUUUUCCUCCGUCGGUACCCCCGCCGCUGCUUCUUCUCCCUGGUCUCCGCCGCUGUCUUUAUUUUUUUUCAUUUGUUCGCUUCGAGCAAGUCACUACGCUACCCUACUCAGGGUUGGACCGAUAUUGUAUGAGCUACUACUUAGGAUGGCUUAGAUCAGACUGCUAUUUCAAACUUUGGCCAAUGUUUUAGAGGUAUAGGAGGGUUACACGAUGUUGAUUACUUUGAACAGGCCGUGCCCAGUCUGCCGGAGAUUCUCUUCAACAUUCAAAUUUUACACUAAAUCCAGUGCUCCAAGAUGAAGAAAAAGAAUAUCGAAGCUUGAAUAUUUGGAACACUUAUUUCGUUUUCAUUAGAAUGAACAUCAACAUCAUGAUAAGCUUAUCUUAUUAGAAUAUUUGAUACGAGCCUCAAUGACCGGCUCUCCAUAUCACAUCGUACUGCCAAGACCACACGGGGUUCGUCGAGCUCAAACCUAGCUAAAGGCUAUCACCUUGAGGAAGGCUUGAAGUGAGUAAAAAAUGGGUUAACAGAUUAUAAGGGUCCUUUAUAUUUUGCUAAGUUAAUAAUGCUUUAUACAUGUACCUUACCCUCUUAUCCUGAUGAUGUUGGACUUGCCGUAGAACUCAUCAAUUGCUGCUUAUCCCCUAUCAUUUGGUGUUGUUGAUUGCCUAUGUGUAUGGUUGAAGGUUCGUUGCCAUCAAAAUGAAUGAAAAUACCUCCAUUGUUGAAGAA